ACAUGCCUACAACAUAGAGUUAAUACAUCAGAUCCCAUUAGAAAUCCACAGUUAAACGCACUCAGUCUAGAGUAGUACUGGGAUGGGUGAUCGCUCGGGAAGUACUAGUAUUUUACAUGCC
Molecule: non-coding RNA, 121 nt
Organism: Picea glauca (white spruce)
Lineage: Eukaryota; Viridiplantae; Streptophyta; Pinopsida; Pinales; Pinaceae
Source: Rfam